RNAcentral lists this ribosomal RNA (607 nucleotides) under Mycocepurus smithi symbiont T1. RNAcentral describes it as "eukaryotic LSU rRNA". It matches the Rfam family "Eukaryotic large subunit ribosomal RNA", at positions 52 to 642 of the family's 3401-position model. RNAcentral also lists the same sequence under 1 other name. The record is from RNAcentral. Lineage: Eukaryota; Fungi; Basidiomycota; Agaricomycetes; Agaricales; Agaricaceae.
GGAGGAAAAGAACUAACAAGGAUUCCCCUAGUAACUGCGAGUGAAGCGGGAAAAGCUCAAAUUUAAAAUCUGACAGUCUCUGGCUGUCCGAGUUGUAAUCUAGAGAAGUGAUGCCCGCGCUGGACCGUGUACAAGUCUCCUGGAAUGGAGCGUCAUAGAGGGUGAGAAUCCCGUCUCUGACACGGACUACCAGGGCUUUGUGGUACGCUCUCAAAGAGUCGAGUUGUUUGGGAAUGCAGCUCAAAAUGGGUGGUAAAUUCCAUCUAAAGCUAAAUAUUGGCGAGAGACCGAUAGCGAACAAGUACCGUGAGGGAAAGAUGAAAAGAACUUUGGAAAGAGAGUUAAACAGUACGUGAAAUUGCUGAAAGGGAAACGCUUGAAGUCAGUCGCGUUGGCYGGGGAUCAGCCUCGCUCUUUUGCGUGGUGUACUUUCYGGUUGACGGGUCAGCAUCAAUUUUGACCGCUGGAAAAAGGCUUGAGGAAUGUGGCAGCUCCGGCUGUGUUAUAGCUUCAUGUCACAUACAGCGGUUGGGAUUGAGGAACUCAGCRCGCCGCAAGGCCGGGUUUCGACCACGUUCGUGCUUAGGAUGCUGGCAUAAUGGCUUUA